Molecule: long non-coding RNA, 2525 nt
Organism: Felis catus (domestic cat)
Lineage: Eukaryota; Metazoa; Chordata; Mammalia; Carnivora; Felidae
Exons: 3
Source: RefSeq, a predicted model, not a curated record
AAGAAAAGAAAAGAAAAGAAAAGGCAGGGUGGGGGGAGUCUCCCUUGUGCACCCUUUCAUUCAAUGCCCUCUUCCGAUAGGAACUCUAUUCUGACCUCUAUCUUCAUAGAUUGUCAGGAAACAUGGAUUUGAAUUCCAGUGCUGUUAAUUAUUAACCGUAUGACUUCAGACAAACCACCUAACUUGUCAGAGCUGCGAUUUUAUUAAUUAACGACGAGGUUAAUUAAAAAAAAAAAUUUGCCUUGGAGAGUUGUUGCAAAGUAUGUUAGAGUGACAUAAGCUUUUUAAUAAAUAUCCUUAAAAUGUGAUGAGCUAAGAAACAGGCCAUUUCUAUCUCUGUCACGAAACCAUCUAUGACAGGUGCUCUGGGUUGUCGGGGGCUUAGGCAACAAGUCUGAUAGCAACUCAUGGAUUUUAAAACCAUUACAUUUUUUGUCACCUCAACCAACAGGAAAGGGGAGAAGGCAUGGAGGAGGCAGACUAUUCCCUAAAGGCUCCAGCUUGAGCUCCAUCCUCGCGCUCACCUUCCAUUUGAGAAGGUAUAGACACUCAACCUACCUGGCCCCAAGCAGGCUGGGAAAUGUAGUUCCAGGAUGGACGGCCAUGUUCCAGCUACAACUCUUGACAGAGAGGAAAAACAGAGUUUGCUGGAAAGCCACUGUAGUUUCCAGCCGUGACCAAGUACAAGCUUUGCUUGGAAAAGAAAAAGAAGUCUAAAUGAUUCUCUCCUCUGCUUGGACUAUAAGGAUAAAUGGAACCAAGAAGACCUUCUGCACACCUAUAAAACCAACUUACAGGGAGCUCAGUUAACUGCCUUGCUCCUAACAAGGUUCGAAUCCCAAAUCCAAGAGGCUGCUUCUAGAGGCAGCUACAAUGCUUUGGUCAUCGCAGUGUCACCCCUGAGGGGAAGUGGUGCCACACGGAGGCAGGUGAUCAAGAGAAUGCCAUGUCAUCUCAAAAGCAAGAGCUAAGAGGGACCUACCAUGGAUUUCCAAGGGAAGGAUCAAAAAACAGAGGAAGCCUGUGUUAGAAGCUUUCAGAGCCCUUUGGGAUGGUAUUCAUGGAAACUGGAGGAAACAAAGGUAACAGGCAGCCUUACUUCAGGCUGUGGAGACAGCCCAGGGUGAGUCACAGCUAAUAAAAAGUGCUCCGUAAUGUUCCCAUACAAACUGUUGAGACCAAGCCUUGGAGCAUUUUCACUUUGGCCUGGAGCCCCAGAGUCCAUUCAGCUGGUGAUUAAUUGCAGGAAAGACCCUGGGAAAUGGAUCAGGAACAGAAAGUGGUUUAUACCAGUGUGAUCAUUAAAAUUUGAUCAAAAGCUGGAUGUGGCCAGUUACCUUUUGAUGGUGUUUUCUGAGAGCCAGUUCUAAAAAGACAUCCUUUCCCACCAGCAACUUUCCCACCAGCAACUCUCCUUUAAUUCCCAAGUAAUAUUUUGAGGCAACAGUUCAUAAUGGGUCAGAAAGAAGUACGGCAAAGCAGAUGAGUGGAUUGGGACCUUUUUAGGUGGUGAUCUGGAAAGGAAAGCAACAGAAAGGGCUUCGGGCUUAAGACAAUUGGGAAAAAAAAGUCUUAGCAACAAUGAGUAUGAUUGACUUCUAUGUCUGUUUUAGAAAGAAAUAGCAUACAAGUAAUCUGAAAUUUACAUGCCAAGCAGGUCUGAUAAAGUAGUUAAGUCUGAAGUUUGGAUUUAUAACAUUUUCACACAGUUACAGUGUCACAGAUCCGUAUGUUUCAGAUGUGACCUUAGAUGACAGUUUCUGGAAGCCUCUAUCCAUCCACCCAGGCUGCACUGGGGAUGACUUCUCUCUGGAUCUUUGUAAUACCUAAAUCCACCCAAUUUUAGCCUUAUUACACUGUUGUAGUUGCCUUCUUGUGUCUGUAUUCCCUAUUGAACUCUAAGUUCAUUUUGAGAAACUCUCCAGCUUUAGCUCAGCCCUGGGUACUCAGUAGGUGUUCUGUAAAUAUCUGUUGAAUUAAUAAUAAUUAAAAAAAAUAGUGGUGAGGUUUCCAGCGCUUCCAUAGAAACCUAUAUAUUUUGUGGGGCUCCUGGGUGGCUCAGUCGGUUAAGUGACUGAUGAUAUCAGCCCAGGUGGUGAUAUCAGGAUCAUUAGAUCAAGCCCAAUGAUGGAUUCUGUGUUGACAACAUGGAUCCUGCUUGGGCUUCUCUCUCUCCUUCUCUCUCUGCCCCUCCCUCACCUCUCUCUCUCUCAAAAUAAAUAAAGAGAAACCUAUAUUUUUUAACAGGAAAAAAACACGACUCUAACUCUUAUUUUUUAUAGGUAAUAUCUGUGUUUUCUUCUCCCAUCCUGAUCCAAGACUAUAUCCCACAUGUUCUAUAGAAUCCCACUGCUUCUGUUGGCAAAUGCACAUGGCUUCCAACUGGAGCUCAGGACACUAAAACCUUGUUCAUCUUGCUUCAGUUCCCUUCCUGAAGACAAUUACUCUCUGCCUCCCCACCUGCUCUGGCUGUGAGAGGGGUUCUUUCCCUUUCUUUACUUUAUUAGUAUUAGUAGUAGUAUUAG